Molecule: ribosomal RNA, 448 nt
Filed under: uncultured bacterium
Lineage: Bacteria
Description: SSU rRNA
Rfam family: Bacterial small subunit ribosomal RNA
Source: RNAcentral
AGAGCGAACGCUGGCGGCAGGCCUAACACAUGCAAGUCGAGCGCCCGUAGCAAUACGGGAGCGGCAGACGGGAUAGUAACACGUGGGAACGCGCCCUUCGGUUCGGAAUAACUCAGGGAAACUUGAGCUAAUACCGAAUACGCCCUUACGGGGAAAGAUUUAUCGCCGAAGGAUUAGCCCGCGUUCGAUUAGCUAGUUGGUGAGGUAAUGGCUCACCAAGGCGACGAUCGAUAGCUGUUCUGAGAGGAAGAUCAGCCACACUGGGACUGAGACACGGCCCAGACUCCUACGGGAGGCAGCAGUUGGGAAUCUUGGACAAUGGGGGAAACCCUGAUCCAGCCAUGCCGCGUGAGUGAUGAAGGCCUUCGGGUUGUAAAGCGUCUUUUACCCGGGAAGAUAAUGACUGUACCGGAGAAUAAGCUCCGGCUAACUUCGUGCCAGCAGCCGC